GAUGAACGCUAGCGGGAGGCCUAACACAUGCAAGCCGAGCGGUAUUGUUUCUUCGGAAAUGAGAGAGCGGCGUACGGGUGCGUAACACGUGUGCAACCUGCCUUUAUCUGGGGGAUAGCCUUUCGAAAGGAAGAUUAAUACUCCAUAAUAUAUUGAACGGCAUCGUUUAAUAUUGAAAGCUCCGGCGGAUAGAGAUGGGCACGCGCAAGAUUAGCUAGUUGGUGAGGUAACGGCUCACCAAGGCGAUGCUCUGUAGGGGGCCUGAGAGGGUGAUCCCCCACACAGGGACUGAGACACGGACCAGACUCCUCCGGGAGGCAGCAGUGAGGAGUAUUGGUCAAUGGGUGCAAGCCUGCACCAGCCAUCCCGCGUGAAGGACGACUGCCCUAUGGGUUGUAAACUUCUUUUGUAUAGGGAUAAACCUACCCUCGUGAGGGUAGCUGAAGGUACUAUACGAAUAAGCACCGGCUAACUCCGUGCCAGCCGCCGCCGUAA
This 495-nucleotide ribosomal RNA is filed under the name uncultured bacterium. Its description in RNAcentral is "partial 16S ribosomal RNA". It matches the Rfam family "Bacterial small subunit ribosomal RNA", at positions 28 to 523 of the family's 1533-position model. The record is from RNAcentral.